Molecule: transfer RNA, 66 nt
Filed under: Scirpophaga incertulas
Lineage: Eukaryota; Metazoa; Arthropoda; Insecta; Lepidoptera; Crambidae
Description: tRNA-Ile
Source: RNAcentral
AAAAAAGUGCGUGAGAAAAGGAUUAUUCUGAUAGGAUAAAUUAUAUAACUUACGUUAUCUUUAUUA